AGAGUUUGAUCAUGGCUCAGAAUCAACGCUGGCGGCGUGCCUCAGACAUGCAAGUCGAACGCGAAAGUUCCCUUCGGGGGACGAUUAGAGUGGCGCACGGGUGAGUAACACGUAGGUAAUCUACCUUUGGAUGGGGAAUAACAACCGGAAACGGUUGCUAAUACCGCAUAAUGCGGCGGCACCUAAUGGUGACAGUUGUUAAAGCGGGGGAUCGUAAGACCUCGCGUCUAAAGAGGAGCCUGCGGCGGAUUAGCUAGUUGGUAAGGUAACGGCUUACCAAGGCUGUGAUCCGUAGCCGGCCUGAGAGGGCGGUCGGCCACACUGACACUGACAUACGGGUCAGACUCCUACGGGAGGCAGCAGUCGGGAAUUUUGGGCAAUGGGCGAAAGCCUGACCCAGCAACGCCGCGUGAGGGAUGAAAUCCCUCGGGAUGUAAACUUCGCAAGAACGGGAAGAAAAGGCAACUCCUAAUAUGGGUUGUUCUUGACGGUACCGGCGGAAUAAGCACCGGCUAACUACGUGCCAGCCGCCGCGGUAAUUC
RNAcentral lists this ribosomal RNA (542 nucleotides) under uncultured bacterium. Its description in RNAcentral is "bacterial SSU rRNA". It matches the Rfam family "Bacterial small subunit ribosomal RNA", at positions 8 to 526 of the family's 1533-position model. The record is from RNAcentral.